This 264-nucleotide ribosomal RNA is filed under the name uncultured bacterium. RNAcentral's name for it is "partial 16S ribosomal RNA". It matches the Rfam family "Bacterial small subunit ribosomal RNA", at positions 355 to 611 of the family's 1533-position model. The record is from RNAcentral.
UAGGGAAUCUUCCACAAUGGACGCAAGUCUGAUGGAGCAACGCCGCGUGAGUGAAGAAGGCUUUCGGGUCGUAAAACUCUGUUAUUGAAGAAGAACGUGUGUGACAGUAACUGGUCAUGCAGUGACGGUAUUCAAUCAGAAAGUCACGGCUAACUACGUGCCAGCAGCCGCGGUAAUACGUAGGUGGCAAGCGUUGUCUGGAUUUAUUGGGCGUAAAGCGAGUGCAGGCGGUCUUUUAAGUCUGAUGUGAAAGCCUUCGGCUUA